GCAGUCGUGGCCGACUGUUUAAGGCGAUGGACUAGAAAUCCAUUGGGGUCUCCCCGCACAGGUUCGAAUCCUGUCGACUGCG
This 82-nucleotide transfer RNA is filed under the name Ixodes scapularis (black-legged tick). It matches the Rfam family "tRNA". Rfam says of the family: Transfer RNA (tRNA) molecules are approximately 80 nucleotides in length. Lineage: Eukaryota; Metazoa; Arthropoda; Arachnida; Ixodida; Ixodidae. The record is from Rfam by way of RNAcentral.